This 288-nucleotide ribosomal RNA is filed under the name uncultured bacterium. Its description in RNAcentral is "partial 16S ribosomal RNA". The record is from RNAcentral.
GGACUACCGGGGUAUCUAAUCCCGCUCGAUACCCAUGCCUUCGCUUUCUCAACGUUAAGAUUCUAAACCAGUUUCCUUCGACAUCGGUAAUCCUUCGCGUAUCAUGCCAUUUCACAGGUCCUCGCGAUGUAUUACAAGUUUCCAAUAUCUUCAACCCUAAUAAUCGACUCUAAAUUUAACACUCCUCUGCGUCCUGACUUUGAAUCUACAUUAGUUCGUCUUAUAGCUUUUACACCCAACUACGCAAAAUAACACUUGGGCUACACGUCUUACCGCGGCUGCUGGCAC